This 484-nucleotide ribosomal RNA is filed under the name uncultured bacterium. RNAcentral's name for it is "partial 16S ribosomal RNA". It matches the Rfam family "Bacterial small subunit ribosomal RNA", at positions 29 to 507 of the family's 1533-position model. The record is from RNAcentral.
AGUGAACGCUGGCGGCAGGCCUAACACAUGCAAGUCGAGCGGCAGCGCGGGGGCAACCCUGGCUGCGAGCGGCGGACGGGUGAGGAAUUCGUCGGAAUCUGCCUUUUUGUGGGGGAUAACGUCUGGAAACUUACGCUAAUACCGCAUACGUCCUACGGGAGAAAGUGGGGGACCGCAAGACCUCACGCGGAAAGAUGAGCCGACGACCGAUUAGCUAGUUGGUUGGGUAAAGGCCCACCAAGGCGGCGAUCGGUAGCUGGUCUGAGAGGAUGAUCGGCCACACUGGGACUGAGACACGGCCCAGAGUCCUACGGGAGGCAGCAGUGGGGAAUAUUGGACAAUGGGCGCAAGCAUGAUACAGCCAUGCCGCGUGUGUGAAGAAGGCCUUCGGGUUGUAAAGCACGUUUGUCCGGAAAGAAAUCCCUGGAGCUAAUACCUUCGGGGGAUGACGGUACCGGAAGAAUAAGCACCGGCUAACUUCGUG